This 22-nucleotide non-coding RNA is filed under the name Arabidopsis thaliana (thale cress). Lineage: Eukaryota; Viridiplantae; Streptophyta; Magnoliopsida; Brassicales; Brassicaceae. The record is from RNAcentral.
UGAAGGUUGUUGGUUUUGCUGC